AUUAAUUUUCUAAAAAUUGUGCUUUAAGAAACAACACAGGAAGCAGACUGAAUGGAGCCAAACUCUCUCUUAACCAUUGUUUAACUCUACUCAUAUUUUCAUUUCUAUGAUGAUUUAUUUGUAUUAUCCUCUGUUGAUGUGUAUUUUUUUUCCUCUAUCUAUUUUAUAAAGAAAGCUAUAUCUUCACUAUGAUAUUUUUUGUGAGCUCUCUCUAAACAUAAACUAUAAAUUGAAUGCUAUCAAAUUAGGGGGAUUCAAUGGUAUGUGAAGCUGAUAAAGUUCUUUUUGAUUAGAGUGAAAGUAGGUUUCAUUGGUGUUUGUCCAUAUGUGUGGGUUUUAAAUGAUUUCCUAAGCAAGAUUAUGAUAUGCAAAAUGGUUGUUCCAUGGAAUCGAAAACUAGUACCUGCAUUUAGCAUAUAUUUGUACACACACACACACACAUAACACAUAUACAACUUGUAGUAGCAUUUAGCAUAAAGUGUAUUGAAGUGACAUUAUCUGGAAUUCCUAAUUUUUGCUUCAUUUCCAAAAUUGUGUAGACCGCUAUCUCUGCCCUGCAAUCUGUUCUUCAAGAGGAUUUCAAGGCGACUGAGAUUGAGGUAGGGGUGGUGAGAACAGAAAAUCCUGUUUUUCACGUGUUGUCAACUGAAGAAAUCGAUGAGCACUUGACGGCCAUUAGUGAGCGUGACUGAUUAAAAUGCUUGAUUGGGGAAAUGUUGCUAUUAAUUGAACCUGCAAAAUAUACAUUUGGUUGAUCUCAGGGUUCUUUUGUUGGUUGUUUAAACUAAAAUUCUCCUGUCGUUUCUCUGCCUUUUUAAGGGGUAUUAAAUGCAUGUGCUAGAAUUAUUUUGCUGCUCUUGGCAGAUA
This is a non-coding RNA of Carica papaya (papaya), 867 nucleotides long. The record is from RefSeq and is a predicted model, not a curated record. Lineage: Eukaryota; Viridiplantae; Streptophyta; Magnoliopsida; Brassicales; Caricaceae.